This is a long non-coding RNA of Maniola jurtina (meadow brown), 97 nucleotides long. RefSeq lists it as uncharacterized. The record is from RefSeq and is a predicted model, not a curated record. The transcript is spliced from 3 exons. NCBI's taxonomy places the organism in Eukaryota, Metazoa, Arthropoda, Insecta, Lepidoptera, Nymphalidae.
CAAGCGCUCGCAAACGCACACAUAUACUUUUGCCGAUACAACUUAAACACAACACAAGCAUGAGCCACGCACACUCAUGAUAUUAAAUAAGUAAGAA